This 197-nucleotide ribosomal RNA is filed under the name uncultured bacterium. Its description in RNAcentral is "partial 16S ribosomal RNA". It matches the Rfam family "Bacterial small subunit ribosomal RNA", at positions 1303 to 1500 of the family's 1533-position model. The record is from RNAcentral.
GGCUGAAAUUCGCCUUCAUGAAGCCGGAAUUGCUGUAAUGGCAGGUCAGCAUACUGCCGUGAAUACGUUCCCGGGCCUUGUACACACCGCCCGUCACACCAUGAGAGUUGGAAAUACCCGAAGCCUGUGAGCUAACCGUAAGGAGGCAGCAGUCGAAGGUAGAGUCAAUGAUUGGGGUGAAGUCGUAACAAGGUAUC